This 686-nucleotide ribosomal RNA is filed under the name Globorotalia scitula. Its description in RNAcentral is "SSU rRNA". It matches the Rfam family "Eukaryotic small subunit ribosomal RNA", at positions 1341 to 1778 of the family's 1831-position model. The record is from RNAcentral. Lineage: Eukaryota; Foraminifera; Rotaliida; Globorotaliidae.
UUGUUGCCUUUCUAAUUUAUUCUAAUUCUUUUGUAAUUAGUCUAAUAACAGAGGCUAUUCUUUAAACUAGACGGACCGCUGUUUCUCUUUUAAACCAGAGGAAGGUUGCGGCAAUAACAGGUCUGUGAUGCCCUUAGAUGUUCCGGGCUGCACACGUGCUACAAUGAUCAGUACAGUGAGCAUCUCAAUUUAUUACUAACACCGCUUUAUUAAAGCAUUCAGUGUGUAGUUGUGUAAGCAGCUGCCUCUGAUAUGCGCGGUAACACCUGUCUCGAGAGUCGAUGGGUAAUCCAUUAGAAGUAAUGAUUCCUCUCUUUUAUAUAGCACACUGAUAUACAGCAUCGGUUCCCGAGGUAACCUUGUGUUACUUAUGUGCGAGCGUGAUGUCAGAGCUUAACGUUUAUUAUUCUUUAUGUCUAAUAGAUCUCUGAUUUUACUGUAUGUGCAAUUGUUAAUUCGUGGUGGGGACAGACCAUUGUUAACUAUUGGUCUCGGUCUUAACUAGGAAUGCCUCGUACGGGUCUUGGUUCAACAAACCACCCGGAAUACGUCCCUGCCCUUUGUACACACCGCCCGUCGCUCUUACCGAUGAACUUCUUUGUGAGUCUAAGGGACUGGGUAAUGAUUCAUUCUUUUCUAAAGUUUGAAUUACCUAUAGAAACUUAGCCGAACAAGGUGGUUUAAAG